This is a non-coding RNA of Equus caballus (horse), 1018 nucleotides long. The record is from RefSeq and is a predicted model, not a curated record. Lineage: Eukaryota; Metazoa; Chordata; Mammalia; Perissodactyla; Equidae.
CGGGGGUGGGGCUUCGGAGGGCGCGCACCCGGGCGGCGGUCAUGGAGGGCACCGGCGCCGGCUUCCGGAAAGUGGCGACAAGCUCAUGCAGUUACAACUGGGAGGACAAGGCCGCUGUGGCUGCUUCCUGGAGUGACUGCUUCCCCAAGUGACCAGGUGGCAAGUUCUUACCCUUCUGAGCCUGGACCCAUCGUGUGUCCACUCCACUCCGCUCUUGGGCUUUGCUGAGCUGCGCUGGGCAAGGAACUGGUGAGCAAGCUGCUGCACCUGCACUUUAAGGAUGACAAGACCAAAGUCAGCGGGGACGCACUGCAGCUCAUGGCGGAGUUGCUGAAGAUCUUUGUUGUGGAGGCAGCCAUCCGCAGCAUCCGGCAGGCCCAGGCAGAGGACCUGGCCCGCGUGGACGUGGACCAGCUGGAGAAAGUGCUGCCUCAGCUGCUUCUAGACUUCUAGGGGUUUCCACGCUUGCUGCGGCUGCCUGUCCAAGUCAUGGCCAAGCCCCGUGUCCACAUGUCUUCUGUGGCCUCUGACCUCAGGCAGGGAAGGUGCUGCUGAUCCCCGAGAUUCUCUUCCCGCCCCGAAGAUGGGCCAGGCCCCAGCAAAUGCAUCUCUCCUCCUGGCAUCCUCUCUGCCCUGCUGCCAACAGCCCGGAUGCAGCGGAUAGGGGGUCAUUGAGGGGAUGGGGGGCCUGUGUGGGGAACCAGGCCCAUGGGGUCUGGCACCAUGACACGUGCCCACCCCUUGUGCCUCCUGGGGCAGCUGAGCACCCGCCAGUGUGCGAGAAGCACUGGGUCCUCGGGAAGCAGGUGCCGAGGGAGAAGCCGGGACCAGCCCACCAGAGCAGGUAACCUGUGUGUCUUCUACAAACAAGCAAAGCUGCGUGCAGUCCUGCCACCCUGACAUCAAAGCUAGUGUGUAACCUUUUAACCACUUGAUAUUCCCCUCUGAAGAUGCUUCCCUGAGCUAUAAAUUUGUUCUCACAAAGCAACAUCAAUAAAUCAAAGCUGCCUCUCCCAGG